GACGAACGCUGGCGGCGUGCUUAACACAUGCAAGUCGAACGGAAAGGCCCUGCUUUUGUCUGGUUCUCGAGUGGCGAACGGGUGUGUAACCCGUGAGUCACCUUCCCUUUGCUGGGUGAUAUCUUCAGGCAACUGGUGCUAAUACCGACUAGGAGCUCCUGCUACAUGGUGGUGUUUGGAAAGUUUCGUCGGUGGUGGAUGUACUUGGGGCUUAUUAGCUUGUUGGGGGGGUAAAGGCCUACCAAGGCGUCGAUCCGUAACCGGCCUGAGAGGAUGAUCAGUCACACUGGAACUGAGACACGGUCCAGACUCCUACGGGAGGCAGCAGUGGGGAAUAUUGGACAAUGGGCGAAAGCCUGAUCCAGCCAUGCCGCGUGUGUGAAGAAGGUCUUCGGAUUGUAAAGCACUUUAAGUUGGGAGGAAGGGCAGUAAGUUAAUACCUUGCUGUUUUGACGUUACCAACAGAAUAAGCACCGGCUAACUUCGUG
This 488-nucleotide ribosomal RNA is filed under the name uncultured bacterium. RNAcentral describes it as "partial 16S ribosomal RNA". It matches the Rfam family "Bacterial small subunit ribosomal RNA", at positions 28 to 507 of the family's 1533-position model. The record is from RNAcentral.